Molecule: transfer RNA, 92 nt
Filed under: Muribaculaceae bacterium
Lineage: Bacteria; Pseudomonadati; Bacteroidota; Bacteroidia; Bacteroidales; Muribaculaceae
Also listed under: 1 other name
Description: tRNA-Ser
Rfam family: tRNA
About the family: Transfer RNA (tRNA) molecules are approximately 80 nucleotides in length. Their secondary structure includes four short double-helical elements and three loops (D, anti-codon, and T loops).
Source: RNAcentral
GGAGAGGUGGGUGAGUGGCUGAAACCACCGGUUUGCUAAACCGACGUAGGGAGCAAUCUCUACCACGAGUUCGAAUCUCGUCCUCUCCGCCA